RNAcentral lists this ribosomal RNA (301 nucleotides) under uncultured bacterium. Its description in RNAcentral is "partial 16S ribosomal RNA". It matches the Rfam family "Bacterial small subunit ribosomal RNA", at positions 509 to 807 of the family's 1533-position model. The record is from RNAcentral.
CAGCCGCCACGGGAAUACGAAGGGGGCUAGCGUUGCUCGGAAUGACUGGGCGUAAAGGGCGCGUAGGCGGCGGCCAAAGUCAGACGUGAAAUCCCCGGGCUCAACCUGGGACCUGCAUUUGUGACUGUAUAGCUAGAGUACGGUAGAGGGGGAUGGAAUUCCGCGUGUAGCAGUGAAAUGCGUAGAUAUGCGGAGGAACACCGAUGGCGAAGGCAAUCCCCUGGACCUGUACUGACGCUCAUGCACGAAAGCGUGGGGAGCAAACAGGAUUAGAUACCCGCGUAGUCCCUGUCUCUUAUAC